AAAUUGAAGAGUUUGAUCAUGGCUCAGAUUGAACGCUGGCGGCAGGCCUAACACAUGCAAGUCGAGCGGAAACGAGUUAUCUGAACCUUCGGGGGACGAUAACGGCGUCGAG
This 112-nucleotide ribosomal RNA is filed under the name Vibrio alginolyticus. Its description in RNAcentral is "partial 16S ribosomal RNA". It matches the Rfam family "Bacterial small subunit ribosomal RNA", at positions 1 to 95 of the family's 1533-position model. RNAcentral also lists the same sequence under 1 other name. Lineage: Bacteria; Pseudomonadati; Pseudomonadota; Gammaproteobacteria; Vibrionales; Vibrionaceae. The record is from RNAcentral.